Long non-coding RNA from Oncorhynchus tshawytscha (Chinook salmon), 745 nucleotides. The record is from Ensembl. Lineage: Eukaryota; Metazoa; Chordata; Actinopteri; Salmoniformes; Salmonidae.
GGAGAGAGCUGCAUGAUACUGGAGGACAAGACACCAAGCCCCUCAAGGGACUCAGGCAGUUGGCUUUUCUCCUCUCCAGAGCACCAACUGAAACAAACCACUCAGCCAGAAUGAACAGAGCAGGACUAUGUUUCACUUUACUACUACUGGGGUAACUUUCAGCUCAACUUUCAAUGCAGAUUGCACUUCAUUCUAUCUGCAUUCUUGCAGUGUUCUGGUGAUAAUGAUAGUCAUGUUUUUCCUCAGGUGUGUACAUGGGGGGAAGCCCUCUCAAAAGGAUGUGGUGUUUAGUAGGGGCAUCCAGCUCUUUGUAGAAGGUUUGAACCCUUCUGAUCCAUCUGUACUCAUUCUCUCCUCAUUCGGGAGUGAUCCUGGUGCUUCACACACACCUACGCUGGUGUGUGUCCUCAGUGGUUUACACACACACCUGGUGGACAUCAUUUGGUGGAUCAACAACACCGUGGUUACCCCAGAGAACAAUGUUGUUUGGAGUUCCAGAGGAAGCAAUGGCAUGUACAUGGCUACUGGACUAUGGACUGUGUCUGGAAAGGACUGGAAGCCACAGAAUUACUACCAGUGUGGAACCAGACAUGAAGGAAAGCUUUAUAUAAAUGUAACACAGUCCUCACUUUGCAGGGAUUUUACUUAAUUACAAAUGUUUGUUGAUUUAUCAAAAAUGAUCUGUACUUGACAGCCUCCUUUGCAUUUAAUGUACAGUCUUUAAACGUAUUAAAAUAUGGAUGCA